This 31-nucleotide non-coding RNA is filed under the name Homo sapiens (human). The record is from RNAcentral. Lineage: Eukaryota; Metazoa; Chordata; Mammalia; Primates; Hominidae.
UGUCCUGCGUACCUCCUCUGGAACUCCCUGC